GCCUGUUGAUGACUGCCAAAGUGUUCCAUAUAUGAUGGUUGAUGUGCAGUAACUUUAUCCGGAUCUCCUGGUAUCAUCUUCCCAAAAUAUGUGUGGACCCAUCGGCAAUGGAUUUUUUGUAAGGUAAAAAUGAGAUGGCUAAAAUGGCUUCUUUUUUAGGUGGCAGAGAAAUGAUUGCCGAUGUAUUUCUAGAUCACUCAAACUUAUGCCAAGCCACCUUCAAGGUUUGGAGCUGGAACUGUUACAAGGGGCAUUUAUUGGGCUUGGCGCAGCAAUUGAUAAUCUCUGUAGUUAGAGCGGGCUCAUCUCUACCACAGCCCUCACCCUGUCCCGAACAUUCACAUCUACAACCCUGUUCCUUCAGAAACUGUCGAGCUCGAUGAAGAGCACUUUCUUUAUAGAGGUCGGGAAUGGAUUUGCCUGGGAUGCUUGUUCAUUUCCCCAUGGAUGGCAUGCCAUGAGCCAUAGGCUCAAGCCAUCACAUUGCUUGGUGGCCAGCAGCCUAACCAAAUGAGGCCAAUGCCUUCUGGGUGCACGAAUUUGUGCUCAGUGAGCAUGGGAUAUGAUUUGAAGGAUUUGAUAAUACCCUUGUUGAGAGCUGUGUUCUAGUAAAGUUUUGCUGCGCUUGCAAACACCGGAUGUGGACUCAUUCACCCUCAAGUCCCAAGUAUAGGAAAGUAUAAGGGUGCCCAAGUGCCAGUAGAUCUUAUUGCCUUUCAAUUAAUGAGGGGAGAAAUCGAGAGGGGAACUGAAAGGGCAUUGACGAACAAUGAAGGGUGAGUUGAAGGAGAUUCUUGCAGAUCUCGACAAUCCCAAUGGUGUGGUCUCCGAUACAGAUCAUCAUGAACGUAUCAAGAAGGUAACCCAUUUCUGUUAGCUUCUGCAUGUGAUUUAUGAUCAUGGUAUCUCUCUCUAGAUUGAAGAACCGAUUGCUUAGGUUCAUGACAACAUUUUCUUUGUCCACAUGGAGAAUUUUCCCUGUUAAGUUGCGUCGAUUGGACGACGCUAGAGUGUUACUAUCCUGAUCUUGAUUCUGCUGCAAACUUUCGUGAAAUUUUCAUGAGUCUGGAAAUUGCUUGCGCAUUAAGGAUAUAGGCAUCCUUGGAAGAGCUUACAUAAGAAUUGUGCGUAACCUCCACCACCAGGAUGAGGAGGGUGAGAAGGGUGAGAAGGAGGAAGAAGCAGUUAGAAGAAGCGAUCCAAGAGGGGAAUAGAUGAUUCUAGAGAAUCUGAUGGUGUCGACCAUUUUGAAGAGGAAUAAGAAGCAGAAAAAGGCCCUCGACUCCGAUGAAUCUGAAUGCAGCAAUGACUUGGAAGAGGAGGAAGAAGAGGUGGAUGAAACAGAGGACACCAGAUUCUAACGAAUCCAAAAAAUCUGAAGACAGUGAAGAGGCGGAAGGCGGAGAACAAGAGAUUAAGGGGAAAUUGAUAAUUGGGUGUCGCCAGAGCAAGUGACUAAGGAAAAGUGCCACCAUACUCUAAAGAGGAACGACUUGAUGGUAUUUGGAGAUGACACAGAAAAACGUUUCACAGUAGAGAGACAGAUGGUUUCGUUGCAACUUUCCCUUCUAUUUUCCUAUUGGUUCUUUUGCUUGGUGCUUGUGCAGUACAAUAGAGUAAUUUUUGAAUUUCUUCUUUCUUCUUGAGGAAUCAUUUUCUUUCAUCAAAAUGGAAUGUAGAUGAUUAUCUCCACUGUUCCCAA
Molecule: long non-coding RNA, 1702 nt
Organism: Nymphaea colorata (pocket water lily)
Lineage: Eukaryota; Viridiplantae; Streptophyta; Magnoliopsida; Nymphaeales; Nymphaeaceae
Exons: 7
Source: RefSeq, a predicted model, not a curated record